This 449-nucleotide ribosomal RNA is filed under the name uncultured bacterium. RNAcentral describes it as "bacterial SSU rRNA". It matches the Rfam family "Bacterial small subunit ribosomal RNA", at positions 335 to 772 of the family's 1533-position model. The record is from RNAcentral.
ACUCCUACGGGAGGCAGCAGUGGGGAAUAUUGGACAAUGGGGGAACCCGUCGAUCCAGCCAUGCCGCGUGUGUGAAGAAGGCCUUAUGGUUGUAAAGCACUUUAAAGCGAGGAGGAGGCUACUCUAGUUAAUACCUAGGGAUAGUGGACGUUACUCGCAGAAUAAGCACCGGCUAACUCUGUGCCAGCAGCCGCGGUAAUACAGAGGGUGCGAGCGUUAAUCGGAUUUACUGGGCGUAAAGCGUGCGUAGGCGGCUUAUUAAGUCGGAUGUGAAAUCCCCGAGCUUAACUUGGGAAUUGCAUUCGAUACUGGGUGAGCUAGAGUAUGGGAGAGGAUGGUAGAAUUCCAGGUGUAGCGGUGAAAUGCGUAGAGAUCUGGAGGAAUACCGAUGGCGAAGGCAGCCAUCUGGCCUAAUACUGACGCUGAGGUACGAAAGCAUGGGGAGCAAA